ACGCUGGCGGCAUGCCUAACACAUGCAAGUCGAACGAAGGCUUCGGCCUUAGUGGCGCACGGGUGCGUAACGCGUGGGAAUCUGCCCAAAGGUACGGAAUAACUCCUCGAAAGGGGUGCUAAUACCGUAUGAUGUCGCAAGACCAAAGAUUUAUCGCCUUUGGAGGAGCCCGCGUAGGAUUAGGUAGUUGGUGAGGUAAAGGCUCACCAAGCCGACGAUCCUUAGCUGGUCUGAGAGGAUGAUCAGCCACACUGGGACUGAGACACGGCCCAGACUCCUACGGGAGGCAGCAGUGGGGAAUAUUGGACAAUGGGCGAAAGCCUGAUCCAGCAAUGCCGCGUGAGUGAUGAAGGCCUUAGGGUUGUGAAGCUCUUUUACCCGGGAAGAUAAUGACUGUACCGGGAGAAUAAGCCCCGGCUAACUCCGUG
RNAcentral lists this ribosomal RNA (428 nucleotides) under uncultured bacterium. RNAcentral describes it as "bacterial SSU rRNA". It matches the Rfam family "Bacterial small subunit ribosomal RNA", at positions 33 to 507 of the family's 1533-position model. The record is from RNAcentral.